This 480-nucleotide long non-coding RNA is filed under the name Homo sapiens (human). Its description in RNAcentral is "HSALNT0297457". Lineage: Eukaryota; Metazoa; Chordata; Mammalia; Primates; Hominidae. The record is from RNAcentral.
AAUACUCAUGGAUUAAUUGGUGCUGGCUGGGCCUGCCAGCCUAGUCGUGGCCCCAGGGUCCCCACUAAAGGGCUCCUUCUCCAGCGCCCACUCUGUUGGCAAGGUCUUCACUACCAUCACCUGCCUGGACUCCAUCCAAGCAUCAGGGUUGCUGCAGUCGCUCCUGAAGAGACCCGGCUCUGCUUGAAAGUUCUUCCCUCAGCGCCUGCUGGAGCCCUCCCUGCCGGAGUUGCCAGAAUCCACACGGAAUCCACAGAUCUGCCCUGAUGAUCAUGAAGGAAUGCGAAAGAGCCUGGUAAAACGAUAUGGACUUGUGCAAAUGCAAAGCAAUGGUGAAGUCAUCACGAACCGCACAGACUGGACAGAACUCCUAUCUGGCUGCAAUGGCUUGGGUUCAGUCAGCCCAGGGGCCAGAGAAUUGGCUACAAAGAGCUCUGGAGUGCCCCUCCCUCCAAAUAAAGUAUUCUAAGCGUGCACUGA